UUUAUCUUAUCUGUUUUUGUUUUGAAAAAGAAAAAAUUUCCUUAAACCUUUCCCCACUUCUCAUGUUCCCCCUUUUCUCCCUAUUCUGUUCAGUUUUUUCUCUCUUUUCACGCAAGUUCCAGUGAAGGAUGUCUUCAAUUUUUCUUCUUUCUUUCUUGUGCUCUUUCUCAAAUUUUUCUUUGUUUCUUGAUUGCUUGUUCUUGUUGUAUUCAUAUUCGGUGGUGAGUGUGACAACUCGAUUCUUGUGUGAAGGUCACGAAAUGAUUAAUUUUCCGGUGGAUUAAGGCUUGUGAGGGUGCUGUUUACAUUCUGGGGUAAGUGGUUAGCGGAGUUUUGGGGCUGUUAGUUGCUGAAAAUAGGUUAGUUUUGGUAUAAUUUUAGUUAUUAACUUGUAUGAGUUGUGAAUUUAGUUAUUGGUAUAUUCAAUUCUUGAACUAAUUACAUCAGAUUUCAAUAAGAUGUGUAACGAAAAACUCAAAAAAAGCGAACGACGCUAAGUUAAAAAUUUGA
Gossypium raimondii (Peruvian cotton) is the source of this 510-nucleotide long non-coding RNA. RefSeq lists it as uncharacterized. The transcript has 2 exons. Lineage: Eukaryota; Viridiplantae; Streptophyta; Magnoliopsida; Malvales; Malvaceae. The record is from RefSeq and is a predicted model, not a curated record.